UACGUAGGGUGCAAGCGUUGUCCGGAAUUAUUGGGCGUAAAGAGCUCGUAGGCGGUCUGUCGCGUCGGCUGUGAAAUCCCGAGGCUCAACCUCGGGUCUGCAGUCGAUACGGGCAAACUAGAGUAUUGCAGGGGAGAGUGGAAUUCCUGGUGUAGCGGUGAAAUGCGCAGAUAUCAGGAAGAACACCCGUGGCGAAGGCGGCUCUCUGGAACGCAACUGACGCUGAGACGCGAAAGCGUGGGGAGCAAACAGG
RNAcentral lists this ribosomal RNA (253 nucleotides) under uncultured bacterium. Its description in RNAcentral is "partial 16S ribosomal RNA". It matches the Rfam family "Bacterial small subunit ribosomal RNA", at positions 524 to 776 of the family's 1533-position model. The record is from RNAcentral.